Molecule: ribosomal RNA, 253 nt
Filed under: uncultured bacterium
Lineage: Bacteria
Description: partial 16S ribosomal RNA
Rfam family: Bacterial small subunit ribosomal RNA
Source: RNAcentral
UACAGAGGGUGCAAGCGUUGUUCGGAAUUAUUGGGCGUAAAGCGCGUGUAGGCGGCUUAGCAAGUCGGGCGUGAAAGCCCUCGGCUCAACCGAGGAAGUGCACCCGAAACUGCUGAGCUUGAGUGCCGGAGAGGAUGGCGGAAUUCCCCAAGUAGAGGUGAAAUUCGUAGAUAUGGGGAGGAACACCGGUGGCGAAGGAGGCCAUCUGGACGGUAACUGACGCUGAGACGCGAAAGCGUGGGGAGCAAACAGG